AACGAACGCUGGCGGCGUGCCUAACACAUGCAAGUCGUACGUGAAAGUCUUCGGAUGAGUAAAGUGGCGCACGGGUGAGUAACACGUAGGUGACCUGCCUUUUAGAGGGGAAUAACCAGAAGAAAUUUUGGCUAAUGCCGCAUACGAAGAGCAAAACUAAGAGUAGCUCUUGAAAGAAUGCCUCUGCAUAUGCAUUCACUAAAAGAUGGGCCUGCGGAACAUUAGCUAGUUGGUGGGGUAAAGGCCUACCAAGGCAACGAUGUUUAUCCGGUCUGAGAGGAUGAUCGGACACACUGGAACUGAGACACGGCCCAGACUCCUACGGGAGGCAGCAGUGGGGAAUUUUGGACAAUGGGGGCAACCCUGAUCCAGCAAUGUCGCGUGAGUGAAGAAGGCCUUCGGGUUGUAAAGCUCUUUUGUUUGGGAAGAAAUCCCUAAGGAUAAUACCCUUGGGGGAUGACGGUACCAAAAGAAUAAGCACCGGCUAACUACGUGCCAGCAGCCGCGGUAAUACGUAGGGUGCAAGCGUUAAUCGGAAUUACUGGGCGUAAAGCGUGCGC
This 560-nucleotide ribosomal RNA is filed under the name uncultured bacterium. RNAcentral's name for it is "bacterial SSU rRNA". It matches the Rfam family "Bacterial small subunit ribosomal RNA", at positions 28 to 572 of the family's 1533-position model. The record is from RNAcentral.